CCGCCAGACUCCUACGGGAGGCAGCAGUGGGGAAUAUUGCACAAUGGGGGAAACCCUGAUGCAGCGACGCCGCGUGAGCGAUGAAGUAUUUCGGUAUGUAAAGCUCUAUCAGCAGGGAAGAAAAUGACGGUACCUGACUAAGAAGCCCCGGCUAACUACGUGCCAGCAGCCGCGGUAAUACGUAGGGGGCAAGCGUUAUCCGGAUUUACUGGGUGUAAAGGGAGCGUAGACGGCAGUGCAAGUCCGGAGUGAAAGCCCGGGGCUCAACCCUGGGACUGCUCUGGAAACUGUAAAGCUGGAGUGCGGGAGGGGCAGGCGGAAUUCCUGGUGUAGCGGUGAAAUGCGUAGAUAUCAGGAGGAACACCGGCGGCGAAGGCGGCCUGCUGGACCGUAACUGACGUUGAGGCUCGAAAGCGUGGGGAGCAAACAGGAUUAGAUACCCUAGUA
Molecule: ribosomal RNA, 447 nt
Filed under: uncultured bacterium
Lineage: Bacteria
Description: bacterial SSU rRNA
Rfam family: Bacterial small subunit ribosomal RNA
Source: RNAcentral